GAUGAACGCUGGCGGCGUGCCUAAUACAUGCAAGUCGAGCGAACGGAUGAGAUGCUUGCUUCUCUGAUGUUAGCGGCGGACAGGUGAGUAACACGUGGCGAAACUACCUAUAAGACUGGGAUAAACUCGGGAAACCGGAGCUAAUACCGGCUAAUAUUUUGAACAGCAAGGUUCAAAAGUGUAAGACGGUCUUGUUGUCACUUAUCGAUGGAUCCGCGCGGCAUUAGCUAGUUGGUAAGGUAACGGCUUACCAAGGCAACGAUGCAUAGCCGACCUGAGAGGGUGAUCGGCCACACUGGAACUGAGACACGGCCCAGACUCCUACGGGAGGCAGCAGUGGGGAAUUUUGGGCAAUGGGCGAAAGCCUGACGGAGCAACGCCGCGUGAGUGAUGAAGGUCUUCGGGUUGUAAAGCUCUUUUAGCUGGGAAGAAAAUGUGUCCACGAAUCUAGGCUGAGCAUGACGGUACCAAAAUAGAAAGCAACGGCUAACUACGUG
RNAcentral lists this ribosomal RNA (497 nucleotides) under uncultured bacterium. RNAcentral describes it as "partial 16S ribosomal RNA". It matches the Rfam family "Bacterial small subunit ribosomal RNA", at positions 28 to 507 of the family's 1533-position model. The record is from RNAcentral.